Molecule: small nucleolar RNA, 77 nt
Organism: Syngnathoides biaculeatus (alligator pipefish)
Lineage: Eukaryota; Metazoa; Chordata; Actinopteri; Syngnathiformes; Syngnathidae
Product: small nucleolar RNA SNORD49
Exons: 1
Source: RefSeq, a predicted model, not a curated record
GACAAAGAUGAAAAGUGUGAAUAGGAAGUGCCGUCUGAUGCGACAACUGACGAUGUUUCUCAAUCACUGGUCUGAGU